CGGCAUGCCUUACACAUGCAAGUCGAACGGUAACGCGGGGCAACCUGGCGACGAGUGGCGAACGGGUGAGUAAUGCAUCGGAACGUACCCAGUAGUGGGGGAUACGGACCCGGCGAAAGCCGGAUUAAUACCGCAUACGACCUAAGGGUGAAAGCGGGGGACCGUAAGGCCUUGCGCUAUUGGAGCGGCCGAUGUCAGAUUAGGUAGUUGGUGGGUAAAGGCCUACCAAGCCUUCGAUCUGUAGCUGGUCUGAGAGGACGACCAGCCACACUGGGACUGAGACACGGCCCAGACUCCUACGGGAGGCAGCAGUGGGGAAUUUUUGGACAAUGGGCGAAAGCCUGAUCCAGCCAUGCCGCGUGCGGGAAGAAGGCCUUCGGGUUGUAAACCGCUUUUGUCAGGGAAGAAACGCUCUGGGCUAAUACCCUGGGGUAAUGACGGUACCUGAAGAAUAAGCACCGGCUAACUACGUG
This 473-nucleotide ribosomal RNA is filed under the name uncultured bacterium. RNAcentral's name for it is "bacterial SSU rRNA". It matches the Rfam family "Bacterial small subunit ribosomal RNA", at positions 40 to 507 of the family's 1533-position model. The record is from RNAcentral.